Non-coding RNA from Danio rerio (zebrafish), 483 nucleotides. The record is from Ensembl. Lineage: Eukaryota; Metazoa; Chordata; Actinopteri; Cypriniformes; Danionidae.
UAUAAGUACAUAACUUCACUCACCUGGGAAAUGGAAGCCACGUGAAUGGUUUGUGAGCACAAUUAAGUGCACACAGCAUGCCAUAUCAUCUGAUAAUUAUAGGAAAUAAUUCCAAAAGGCAACUGACUGUGUAAAGCCACAUAAAACAUCACAGAAAUACAAUGAAUAUGCCGAGUUCAGCAGCUAAUCAGCUGGAAUCAGCUGAGGUGAAGUGAGGGCGACAAACGAGACCUGGCUGUCACUCCAGUGGCCACGCCUUUAAUUAUGCAGACUUAAUAUGUAAUGUAAUGUAAAACGGAUGAGUUAUAAAAUAAUUCACCCCCUCACAGUUUUCAUGAAGGGUAAUAUUAGCUAUAUGAACCAAAAUUUUUCUUUGUACCAGUCUGUAAAGACAUUUUUCUGCUGUAAAGUUGGCCAUUUCAACAGUGGGCUCAAUAGAAAUUUGCUUCAUAUGGAGCCUGGACUAGCGGAAUUUGAUGAAUU